GAGGACCGCGCCGGCCGGCGGACCGAGCGCGGGCUGUGCCGACGGGAGAAAGGGGCACCGCGGCACGGCAGGCACAGGGGGCACGGCACACCCGGAAGAGCGCAAGCAAACAAACAAACAAGGGAGCCGCUGAGAUGGGCUCUAAGUGUUCCAACAAUAACAAAAGAAGAAUGAAGUGGAGCCCUGGAACACCUGGCCUUUUAUCUAAAGAUCACCUUCCUCCAGCUCCUGGCUUCCUCAUCAGCUGUGGGAGUGGACGCAUGGGAAACAAAAGCCAAAUGAACGGUUUUUGACUGCUCCUCCUAGCUACAUGCAUCUGUCCACCUUGACGAUCCCCUCUGCACAGUAAGCACAGAAGCUAUUUCUACCGUAUUGCACAUCAGCACCGGAAGAGAGAACCCUCAGACACAUUUGCUAAUGUAAAAGUGGAAGCAAAAAAAUCUUAGGCCAUGGUAUUUCUUGGUUGGUAUUUCAUUUAUUUUAAAACCAACUCAUAAAUUUAUGCAGUAGACCACUGAUCAAUCUCAUAUCUGUCAGGAGUUAAGUAGAAUAAACUGCAGAAUGCUGUUCCCAAAGCCUUUUGUUGAUUUUUACCAAACACAAGAGCUUACCAGGAAAGCUCCUCCUGGCAGUCCCUUGUUUUUGGCCACUGAAUUCACACUGAAUUAUCUGCAGAUGAGUGCCUUGACUCUUACCCACCACCAGCAAGAACUCUGGCAACUCACCUACCUGAAAUGGAAAUGGAGGCCAGAGUGAGGCCUCAAAUUGAGCCCCACAGCAUUUCCUGGCAGCUGCAUGUAAGCUAGGCAUUCUAAAGUAACUAAAAGCCCUGUCUAAGUUUGUUAUUAAGGGUACAUACUAUCUACACCAAGAGCAAAACCUAUUAAUUGGUCAUUUUGAUUCCAAAAAUAAUCAUGCAGCAAGCUUGCUAUUUAAACUCUGGGAAACACUACACAAAUAUCACAUUAAUGACUGUUAAUGAUCAGAUCUAUGACCUGCCUUCAACCUUCUGAUCUCAGAGAACUGCUGCAUUGGAGCAAAGUAAAGGCAGGCUUGCAAUUCCUUUGAACUGCAGCUUAGUCUGAGAACACCUGCCUUUGAAAAAUUGUCAGAGCAGACCCUUGGGAAAUAGCAGACCCAGCCGUACCACCCUAAGAGCCUCCAGCUCUCUGGGCUUUAUACCAGCGUGUUGCUCAUUUCCAAGCAUUCCUUUCUGAGCAUCUCUGCACAAUAUGCCCGUGUGGCAGCAGGAGAGGGAGACGGUACAUGCAGAUGUCCAGUGCAGUGGCGCAUGAAAGCACUGGGAAGUCUCCCUGUCCCUUCCAAUGCCAGGACGUACAGAAAACAAAUGCCUCUACAAAAAAGCCAAAAACACAGCGCUACUGACCUAUGGAAUAUAUUAAGUAUUUUUAAACAGCCAAUGAGCAGAGGAAGAAUGGUAGGAUUGGAGAGAGAGCACUGACAACUGAUAUGAGGGAGCACCAUGGAAAGCAGAGUAAGUGGUUAGCAAAAUUACACCAUGAACACACAAACAGCCCCCUUCCCCCAUGCCUUGGCAAUGGAAACUCUAUGGCAAACUCCAUGUGGGACAGUUAAAGAACUCACUCAGCAAGAUGGAUGAGGGAAAAACUGGUCUAACUUAAGGUUUGUUUACUUUUAAAGUUCAUGGAUGUUUUGCAAAUCAGUCCUUUAAAAAGACACAGUAUUCCUUUAAUCCAUGUAUAUUAAUUAAAAAGCAAUUUAAGGAAGGAGCUUUUCUUCCCUUAUCCCACCUUCCAAACAUCUUUCAGGAGGAAUGGAGAAACUGAAGCCACCAAAUGAGAACUGAAA
Molecule: long non-coding RNA, 1830 nt
Organism: Numida meleagris (helmeted guineafowl)
Lineage: Eukaryota; Metazoa; Chordata; Aves; Galliformes; Numididae
Exons: 3
Source: RefSeq, a predicted model, not a curated record